UACGUAGGGUGCGAGCGUUAAUCGGAAUUACUGGGCGUAAAGCGUGCGCAGGCGGUUCGUUGUGUCGGCGGUGAAAGCCCCGGGCUUAACCUGGGAAUGGCCGUCGAAACUGGCAAACUGGAGUGUGGCAGAGGGGGGUGGAAUUCCGCGUGUAGCAGUGAAAUGCGUAGAGAUGCGGAGGAACACCGAUGGCGAAGGCAGCCCCCUGGGCUGACACUGACGCUCAGGCACGAAAGCGUGGGGAGCAAACAGG
Molecule: ribosomal RNA, 253 nt
Filed under: uncultured bacterium
Lineage: Bacteria
Description: partial 16S ribosomal RNA
Rfam family: Bacterial small subunit ribosomal RNA
Source: RNAcentral